Molecule: non-coding RNA, 26 nt
Filed under: Homo sapiens (human)
Lineage: Eukaryota; Metazoa; Chordata; Mammalia; Primates; Hominidae
Source: RNAcentral
UGGUAAGAGACUGAGGGUGAGUGGUC